This is a non-coding RNA of Salmo salar (Atlantic salmon), 2064 nucleotides long. The record is from RefSeq and is a predicted model, not a curated record. Lineage: Eukaryota; Metazoa; Chordata; Actinopteri; Salmoniformes; Salmonidae.
UGAGUUAGCAUAGUUUGUAAUUUAUUUUCUCUGCACGUAGUUUGCUUCAAGAUGGCUAACGUUAGCUAUUUUGGUUUACGACUCUUCCAAUUAAUAAUUUAGUGGAAUAAUACUUAUGUUAACUAGCUAAUGUUUAAAGUAAAUUACAUGCCAACCGGUGUAAACUAAACUUCGAAGCUAACUAAAGGUUUAACGCUAAUUAACAUUAACCUAGCUUGUGCCACGUGGGUCCAUAGUGCGCUGAUGUUAACUUUUUUUUUGUACACUGCACAACGUUUUAAUUAUAAUAUUGGGUCUUUCUGUGAAGAUAUCUUUGUCCAGUUCUGCUACUGAAUGAUAGUGAUCGAUAUUAGUGACUCUGAGAAAGACCUGGGUUUUUACAAAGCAUAUUAUUUCAAACUUGUUAGUUAGCUAGUCGCCCGGCCUUAAUAGAACCGCGCCAAAGCCUUAAUUACCGGUGAUAAACAAUUUAUCAUGUAGUUUAAUUAAACGACCAUUUGUCUCGUCGGUAACAGGGGUUCUGAUUGCACCAGCAGGCUAAACUGGCUGAUCUGUUCUGGUCUACAGAGGCGGGCAUUAGGAAGUCCAUGAUAGAGGCUGCCAUCACGUCGUCAGGAGUCAAGUGCCCAGUUCUGCAGUCUGGUGUCAGUCUGACCAUGUGACCUGCAGUGAACGGUCCUCCACCCUGUUCCUCAGGCUCUCAAAGCUGCAUUCUGGUUGGUCAAUCUGAGACCAUGUUAUGUGCAGUGAUCCACCAUCCCUCUGUCCUCUGGUUCCAUAGACGGGAUGGGCAGCCCCUCCCGUGGUUUCUCUGGAGCGUUGUCUUUCAGAAUCAGAAGGGUGCUGACCUACUUCCAACAUGUUGAAGGGGUGGUUACUGCCCACAGCUGGUGUUAUCCAAUAUAUGCGCUCUGUAUCAAACUAAGCAUUGUAUGUGGGCCAAAUCAUUAGCUAAAUCUUGUAAUGAAUGUAGAGAUUGGCCAAGUUCAAGAUACUAGACUAUUUUGUGUAACCCUGGAUUGUACACUGAAAUGGUACAUUUAAAGAUUCAACGGUAGCUGGGGGGGGGUGAGGUCUGAUAACGCUGCUCUGGUUGCUUGAUAAUCAAUUCGUACAGGCCCUAGUUUUAGCAGACCUGGGCUGCAGUCCAAACUACCCCUUCAGUCCUUAUUAAGCAUUGCAUAUGGGACAAUUCAAUUAACUUAACAUGUUAUCAAUUUAGCAAGUUGUGAAAACAUAUUGCUGUAACGGUAGCUAAAAUGGGGAUGUCUGUGAUAAAGCACUGCUUGUCGAGCCACAAAACAAAUACUGUUUUCACACUACUGCCCAGUUAUAUGUUAAAGUGCCACAAAGGACAGGCAAAUUAGUUGGCCCAGAACAGGGAAGUACUGCUGGCCCUUAAAGGAAUACUUCAGUUUUUAUUUUUAUGCGGCCUUUUAUUUACUUCCCCAGAGUCCAAUGUCCUCAUGGAUAUCCAUUUGGUCUGCAUCCAGUUUCAAAGGAAGUAGCCAGCUAUUGCUAAAUAGCAUUAGCAAAAUUAAGAUGUUUUGUGGUAUCUGCUAAUGCUGACUUACAAUUGCACCAGUUGGCUACUUCCUUCAAACUAGAUGCAGAGACAUAAAUGGUAUUGAGGUCAUCUGACUCGGGAAGUAGACAAAAGAGCCUCGUUGUCAAAAGCCUAAAGUAUCCCUUAAAAUGUACUCGUCACCCCUCCCUCUGCUUGCCCUACCUAUAAACUACUGAGUGACGCAGCGGUCUAAGGCGCUGCAUCUCAGUACUGGAGACCUCACUAGACACCCUGGUUUGAUUCUGGGCUGUAUCACAACUGGCCGUGAUUGGAAAUCCCUUAGGGCAUUGCGCAAUUGGCCCAGCGUCGUCCGGGUUUGGCCUGUGUAGGCCGUCAAUGUAAAUAAGAAUUGGUUCUUAACGGACUUGCCUACUACAUUAACAAAAUAUGUAUUUCAAUGUACCCUACAGCUGGUGUCAGCAACAGUAUGGUUGAUCUCCAGUGUGAGGACUGGUGUUUUAGUUUGAAUAUUUUUGUCAAUAAAGUUUUAUACCGUG